GAUGAAGAACGUAGCGAAAUGCGAUAAGUAAUGUGAAUUGCAGAAUUCAGUGAAUCAUCGAAUCUUUGAACGCACAUUGCGCCCCCCGGCAUUCUGGGGAGCAUGCCUGUUCGAGCGUCUCCAGGACGAAUCCUCGCGCGAGUGAACGCGCGGUCGUGGCGGAGGUGGCGUGCCCGAGCAGGGCGGCCACCGCGCUGGAAUCCAUGGGCGGACGCCUGCCGCGUGGCCGAGCGUGAUAUGACGCAUUGGCGCUCGUGCGCGGCGAGGCUGCCAGCCCUGGCCCGUCUGUCGGGCGGGGUAGAUCACCACGUGGGAACUCCUCGAAUCAGGUAGGGAUACCCGCUGAACUUAAGCAUAUCAAUAAGCGGAGGA
Molecule: unclassified non-coding RNA, 372 nt
Filed under: soil metagenome
Description: partial contains 5.8S ribosomal RNA, internal transcribed spacer 2, and large subunit ribosomal RNA
Rfam family: 5.8S ribosomal RNA (bases 1-120)
Source: RNAcentral